GAUGAACGCUGGCGGCGUGCCUAAUACAUGCAAGUCGAGCGAACAGACGAGGAGCUUGCUCCUCUGACGUUAGCGGCGGACGGGUGAGUAACACGUGGAUAACCUACCUAUAAGACUGGGAUAACUUCGGGAAACCGGAGCUAAUACCGGAUAAUAUAUUGAACCGCAUGGUUCAAUAGUGAAAGACGGUUUUGCUGUCACUUAUAGAUGGAUCCGCGCCGCAUUAGCUAGUUGGUAAGGUAACGGCUUACCAAGGCAACGAUGCGUAGCCGACCUGAGAGGGGGAUGGGCCACAGUGGACCUGAGACCGGGUCCAGACCCCUACGGGAGGAGGCAGUGGGGAAUUUUCCGCAAGGGGGAAAAGCCUAACGGAGAAACGCGGGGGGAGGAAUAAAGGUCUUCAGAUCUUAAAACCUUGUUAUUAGGGAAAAAAAAAGGGGUAAGUAAAAAUGCCCGUCUGGAGGGGACCUAAUCAGAAAGCCACGGCAAACUACGU
This 496-nucleotide ribosomal RNA is filed under the name uncultured bacterium. RNAcentral describes it as "partial 16S ribosomal RNA". It matches the Rfam family "Bacterial small subunit ribosomal RNA", at positions 28 to 506 of the family's 1533-position model. The record is from RNAcentral.